This 1175-nucleotide long non-coding RNA is filed under the name Phocoena sinus (vaquita). RNAcentral describes it as "lncRNA (ENSPSNG00000004952.1)". The record is from RNAcentral. Lineage: Eukaryota; Metazoa; Chordata; Mammalia; Artiodactyla; Phocoenidae.
CGGUGCGGAAGCCUGGUCUCCUCGCUUGGAGCGAGCGGUCUGCGCUUGGGAAGGCGAGGCUCGAGGCCGGCCGGCGGAGCUCUCAGGGACGCAGGGAGGUCAGGUUGGCAGCAGCCACUCUCUCUGCGGCUGUACCUGGGAGAUGGAAAGCAGAAGGCUGGCUCAAACACUCCAAGACAGGUUGGCACCACUCCAGGUACGGACGGUUUAGCUGCAAGGGCUGCUAGGAAAUGUAGUUCGGUGCUAAACAGCCAAUGGGAGAUCGCCAGGCGCCGCGGUUGUGGCGGAGCAGGGCCGGGGCUCGACCGGAAGCGGGCCGUCUGACGGACCGGAAGCUCUGUGAGAGGCCGACGCAGUUUCCGCCCCAGCCCCUUGGGUCUAUCAAAAAAUUGCGGUGGCGGCGAGGUGGUGGUAGGUUGUGGUUUUUGUCGGUUCUAGGGUCCUGUUACAGCCGUCCCUUUCGGCAGGGGCGGCCCUUCGGUCAGAGCCGGGCGAAGCUCCCCUCCCCUAUUGGCCAACUUCUACACAGAGGUCUGGACCGGCCAUCUUAUUUUCUCAGGAAUUCUAGCUGUCCAUCUCCGUUACCGUCCUCAAUUCGUCUUUUCUUUCUGCGUUGUUCCCAUACUCGGUUCAUUUUCCAGUGAGGCAGUGAUCAGGAAUUGGGGCCACACAAGAGCAGGGAUUGCCUUAUUCUAUGUAAACGCCAGCCUCAGGCAGGAUGACUAAAGUGAAAAUAUGAGUUCUGUUUAUUAACGGUAACUAUAGGUGACUCACUCAGCUAUGAUCUAAAACAUGUUAUAAAGAGAGUAGUGUCAAAACCGUGUGGCAGGGGCUUCCCUGGUGGCGCAGUGGUUAAGAGUCCGCCUACUAAUGCAGGGGACACGGAUUUGAGCCCUUGUCCGGGAAGAUCCCACAUGCAGCGGAGCUCCUAAGCCCGUGUGCCACAGCUACUGAGCCUGCGCUCUAGAGCCCCUGAGCCACAACUACUGAAGUCCUUGUGCCUAGAGCCCGUGCUCCUCAACAAGAGAAGACAGCGCAAUGAGAAGCCCACACACCGCAAUGAAGCAUAGCCCCUGCUCAGCACAGCUAGAGAAAGCUCUCGCGCAGCAACGAAGACCCGACACAGCAAUCAAUCAAUAAAAUAAGAAAGAAAAAACUGUGUGGCAACAAAACUU